Molecule: non-coding RNA, 125 nt
Organism: Anolis carolinensis (green anole)
Lineage: Eukaryota; Metazoa; Chordata; Lepidosauria; Squamata; Anolidae
Source: Rfam
UUCAUUGUUCCUAGCCUAAAUAACCUGAAGGCACCUGAUCCUGUCUGAUUUUGGAAGUUAAGCAGGUUUGCUUCUGGUUUGUAGUUGGAUAGAAAACUACCAGUGAAUGCCAGGUAGUAUGGGCU